Molecule: unclassified non-coding RNA, 741 nt
Filed under: Hevea brasiliensis (rubber tree)
Lineage: Eukaryota; Viridiplantae; Streptophyta; Magnoliopsida; Malpighiales; Euphorbiaceae
Source: RNAcentral
UUGCAAAUUCUCUCUCUAUAAAAUUCAGACUUUCUCGCCUUCUGUUAACUACUGUUUUCCUCUUCCUUCAAAAUAUACUAAACUCUGUCCUGAAUCUCAAUAAAAUUUAAGAUUUUUCUUUCAUAAUUUUGUGCAACAAAUGGGUGUUGCUGUCCUUAAUCCUCGGGACUGUCUCCAGAAUCCUUUGUCGUUCCGACAAGAUCUGAUAUCACCCCUCCCUCGCAUGAAAACUCCUAGAAAGCCUAAUACAAACCGGCCGAAUCGGCCUCAACCUAACCGCAAGAAGCGGAGCCCCAGCACCUCACCUUCUUCACGCGCCGUCGUUUAUCCCCAGGUCGCUGCCAAAAACCUGGUUAUGGGUCAGGUCAAAAUUCUUAAACGCGGCGAACAACUAGCUAAACCUACGUCAGAGAAGGUUUCUCAACCUGCUAAAGUUGAGAAAAUGGAAGAGCUAGAUCUCCAAUCUACUCAUCGGCUUGGACCUGAUCCUGAGCUAGUUCCGACUCAGAUCCGACUGACUGAGGCCAAUAAAGCUAAUGGCUUUUAUGCUGGAUCGGCUUUUAUUACUUCGCCACCGCCUAGUUCGCUCCCUUUGCCGGCGUUUUUCAUGAAAAAGUGUGUCGUGGGUGUUAAGAACACCGAUGCUACUAGUGAUUUACGACGGAUUCUAGGCCUUAGCUUAUAGUGUUUAGGCCAUGGAAGAUUGGUGGUGGGUGGAUAGAUGUGAUGUGAAGCUGUAAU